AAACUGAUCUUCCCGUGAAGAAGCGGGAAUAUACCUAUAAGACGAGAAGACCCCAUGGAGCUUUAAAUCCAACAGCACCUAUUACCCAUAUAUCUUUAUAUUUUUUUAGCAAAUGCUCGUUCGGUUUUAGGUUGGGGUGACCAUGGAGUAAAAAAUAACCUCCACGAAAAAAGGCAUAAAACCCUUAUCAAAGAGCCACAUCUCUAUGAAUUAGUAAACUAAUUUCUGAUGAUCCGAUAUUCGAUCAACGAACCAAGUUACCCUGGGGAUAACAGCGCAAUCCGCCUUAAGAGCCCCUAUCGACAGGCGGGUUUACGACCUCGAUGUUGGAUCAGGGUAUCCCAGUGGUGCAACAGCUACUAAAGGUUCGUUUGUUCAACGAUUAAAACCCU
RNAcentral lists this ribosomal RNA (392 nucleotides) under Boophis picturatus. RNAcentral describes it as "partial 16S ribosomal RNA". It matches the Rfam family "Bacterial large subunit ribosomal RNA", at positions 2039 to 2597 of the family's 2925-position model. The record is from RNAcentral. Lineage: Eukaryota; Metazoa; Chordata; Amphibia; Anura; Mantellidae.